RNAcentral lists this ribosomal RNA (206 nucleotides) under uncultured bacterium. Its description in RNAcentral is "partial 16S ribosomal RNA". It matches the Rfam family "Bacterial small subunit ribosomal RNA", at positions 568 to 774 of the family's 1533-position model. The record is from RNAcentral.
AGCGUAGGCGGAUAGUUUAGUCAGAGGUGAAAGCCCAGGGCUCAACCUUGGAAUUGCCUUUGAUACUGGCUAUCUUGAGUAUGGAAGAGGUAUGUGGAACUCCGAGUGUAGAGGUGAAAUUCGUAGAUAUUCGGAAGAACACCAGUGGCGAAGGCGACAUACUGGUCCAUUACUGACGCUGAGGCUGAAAGCGUGGGGAGCAAACA